RNAcentral lists this ribosomal RNA (718 nucleotides) under Ornithobacterium rhinotracheale. Its description in RNAcentral is "bacterial SSU rRNA". It matches the Rfam family "Bacterial small subunit ribosomal RNA", at positions 125 to 845 of the family's 1533-position model. The record is from RNAcentral. Lineage: Bacteria; Pseudomonadati; Bacteroidota; Flavobacteriia; Flavobacteriales; Weeksellaceae.
CUUGCCCUUAUCAGGAGGAUAGCCCGGGGAAACUCGGAUUAAUACUCCAUAAGAUUUUGAUUGGCAUCGAUUAAAAUUGAAAGAUUUAUUGGAUAAGGAUAGGCAUGCGUCAGAUUAGUUAGUUGGUAGUGUAACGGACUACCAAGGCGAUGAUCUGUAGGGGGCCUGAGAGGGUGAACCCCCACACUGGUACUGAGACACGGACCAGACUCCUACGGGAGGCAGCAGUGAGGAAUAUUGGACAAUGGAGGGAACUCUGAUCCAGCCAUCCCGCGUGCAGGAAGACGGCCCUAUGGGUUGUAAACUGCUUUUGUAUGGGGAUAAAUCUACCUACGUGUAGGUAGUUGAAGGUACCAUACGAAUAAGCAUCGGCUAACUCCGUGCCAGCAGCCGCGGUAAUACGGAGGAUGCAAGCGUUAUCCGGAUUCAUUGGGUUUAAAGGGUCCGUAGGCGGGCUGAUAAGUCAGUGGUGAAAUUUUGUCGCUCAACGAUAAAACUGCCAUUGAUACUGUUAGUCUUGAGUGAUAUUGAAGUAGCUGGAAUGUGUAGUGUAGCGGUGAAAUGCAUAGAUAUUACACAGAACACCGAUUGCGAAGGCAGGUUACUAAGUAUUAACUGACGCUGAAGGACGAAAGCGUGGGGAGCGAACAGGAUUAGAUACCCUGGUAGUCCACGCAGUAAACGAUGCUAACUCGUUUUCGGGGAGUGAUCUUCGGAG